MicroRNA precursor from Oryza sativa Japonica Group (Japanese rice), 210 nucleotides. It matches the Rfam family "MIR812 microRNA precursor family". NCBI's taxonomy places the organism in Eukaryota, Viridiplantae, Streptophyta, Magnoliopsida, Poales, Poaceae. The record is from Rfam.
AAUAAGUGCAGUUUUGCACUAUUCAUCUCCAACAUUUAACAAUUUGUCUUAUUUGAAAAAAAUUUAUGAUUACUAUUUUUAUUGUUAUUAGAUGAUAAAACAUGAAUAGUACUUUAUGUGUGACUAGUUUUUUUUAAAAAAAAAUCAUAAAUUUUUCAAAUAAGACGGAUGGUCAAACGUUGGACACGGAUUUCCACGACUGCACUUAUU